RNAcentral lists this ribosomal RNA (436 nucleotides) under uncultured bacterium. Its description in RNAcentral is "partial 16S ribosomal RNA". It matches the Rfam family "Bacterial small subunit ribosomal RNA", at positions 27 to 507 of the family's 1533-position model. The record is from RNAcentral.
GAACGAACGCUGGCGGCAGGCCUAACCCAUGCAAGUCGAGCGGACAUCUUCGGAUGUUAGCGGCGGACGGGUGAGUAACGCGUGGGAACGUGCCCUUUGCUUCGGAAUAGCCUCGGGAAACUGGGAGUAAUACCGGAUGUACCCUUUGGGGGAAAGAUUUAUCGGCAAAGGAUCGGCCCGCGUUGGAUUAGGUAGUUGGUGGGGUAAUGGCCUACCAAGCCGACGAUCCAUAGCUGGUUUGAGAGGAUGAUCAGCCACACUGGGACUGAGACACGGCCCAGACUCCUACGGGAGGCAGCAGUGGGGAAUCUUAGACAAUGGGGGAAACCCUGAUCUAGCCAUGCCGCGUGAGCGAUGAAGGCCUUAGGGUUGUAAAGCUCUUUCACCGGGGAAGAUAAUGACGGUACCCGGAGAAGAAGCCCCGGCUAACUCCGUG